GACGAACGCUGGCGGCGUGCUUAACACAUGCAAGUCGAGCGAGGCCCCUCCUUCGGGAGGGUGUCCUAGCGGCGAACGGGUGAGUAACACGUGGGCAACCUGCCCUCAGCUCUGGGAUAACUCCGGGAAACCGGGGCUAAUACCGGAUACGACCUCCACGGGCAUCUGCGGAGGUGGAAAGUUUUUCGGCUGAGGAUGGGCCCGCGGCCUAUCAGCUAGUUGGUGGGGUAGUGGCCCACCAAGGCGACGACGGGUAGCCGGCCUGAGAGGGCGACCGGCCACACUGGGACUGAGACACGGCCCAGACUCCUACGGGAGGCAGCAGUGGGGAAUAUUGCGCAAUGGGCGAAAGCCUGACGCAGCGACGCCGCGUGAGGGACGAAGGCCUUCGGGUUGUAAACCUCUUUCAGCAGGGACGAAGCGAAAGUGACGGUACCUGCAGAAGAAGCAUCGGCCAACUACGUG
This 465-nucleotide ribosomal RNA is filed under the name uncultured bacterium. Its description in RNAcentral is "partial 16S ribosomal RNA". It matches the Rfam family "Bacterial small subunit ribosomal RNA", at positions 28 to 507 of the family's 1533-position model. The record is from RNAcentral.